GCCUUCGUAGUGUAGUGGUCAGCACGCUGGACGCGUGUUCCAGAGGCCCGUGGUUCGAGUCCUGGCGAAGGCG
RNAcentral lists this transfer RNA (73 nucleotides) under Stegodyphus mimosarum. It matches the Rfam family "tRNA". From Rfam's summary of the family: Transfer RNA (tRNA) molecules are approximately 80 nucleotides in length. Their secondary structure includes four short double-helical elements and three loops (D, anti-codon, and T loops). Further hydrogen bonds mediate the characteristic L-shaped molecular structure. tRNAs have two regions of fundamental functional importance: the anti-codon, which is responsible for specific mRNA codon recognition, and the 3' end, to which the tRNAs corresponding amino acid is attached (by aminoacyl-tRNA synthetases). tRNAs cope with the degeneracy of the genetic code in two manners: having more than one tRNA (with a specific anti-codon) for a particular amino acid; and 'wobble' base-pairing, i.e. permitting non-standard base-pairing at the 3rd anti-codon position. Lineage: Eukaryota; Metazoa; Arthropoda; Arachnida; Araneae; Eresidae. The record is from Rfam by way of RNAcentral.